Molecule: ribosomal RNA, 497 nt
Filed under: uncultured bacterium
Lineage: Bacteria
Description: partial 16S ribosomal RNA
Rfam family: Bacterial small subunit ribosomal RNA
Source: RNAcentral
GAUGAACGCUGGCGGCGUGCCUAAUACAUGCCAGUCGAGCGAACAGACGAGGAGCUUGCUCCUCUGACGUUAGCGGCGGACGGGUGAGUAACACGUGGAUAACCUACCUAUAAGACUGGGAUAACUUCGGGAAACCGGAGCUAAUACCGGAUAAUAUAUUGAACCGCAUGGUUCAAUAGUGAAAGACGGUUUUGCUGUCACUUAUAGAUGGAUCCGCGCCGCAUUAGCUAGUUGGUAGGGUAACGGCUUACCAAGGCGACGAUGCGUGGCCGACCUGAGAGGGUGAUCGGCCACACUGGAACUGAGACACGGUCCAGACUCCUACGGGAGGCAGCAGUAGGGAAUCUUCCGCAAUGGGCGAAAGCCUGACGGAGCAACGCCGCGUGAGUGAUGAAGGUCUUCGGAUCGUAAAACUCUGUUAUUAGGGAAGAACAAAUGUGUAAGUAACUAUGCACGUCUUGACGGUACCUAAUCAGAAAGCCACGGCUAACUACGUG